Molecule: ribosomal RNA, 253 nt
Filed under: uncultured bacterium
Lineage: Bacteria
Description: partial 16S ribosomal RNA
Rfam family: Bacterial small subunit ribosomal RNA
Source: RNAcentral
UACGUAGGGUGCAAGCGUUGUCCGGAAUUAUUGGGCGUAAAGAGCUCGUAGGCGGUUUGUCGCGUCUGGUGUGAAAAUCCAGGGCUUAACCCUGGACCUGCAUCGGGUACGGGCAGACUAGAGUGCGGUAGGGGAGAUCGGAAUUCCUGGUGUAGCGGUGAAAUGCGCAGAUAUCAGGAGGAACACCGGUGGCGAAGGCAGGUCUCUGGGCUGACACUGACGCUCAUGCACGAAAGCGUGGGGAGCAAACAGG